RNAcentral lists this long non-coding RNA (806 nucleotides) under Cyanistes caeruleus (blue tit). Its description in RNAcentral is "lncRNA (ENSCCEG00000006341.1)". The record is from RNAcentral. Lineage: Eukaryota; Metazoa; Chordata; Aves; Passeriformes; Paridae.
CUCCAGGCUUGUCCUGAAUUUCUUAAUUAUUCUGGUCCACAGAAUGCAUAAGAAAACAACUGCACUGUGUGACUCCUGGGAUCCUGGAGGUGAAUUGCUGUCCAUGAAUUUCCCUUUUCUCCUCUAGCAUGAAAAGCACGGCGCUAAAUCCAUGGGAAGGGGUAGAAGUUGAGUGUGGCACCAUCUCUGCUGAACUAGAGAAACUUUCUGCAAUGAAUUGCUCAAUCACUUCAUUUGGAAGAAGAGCAACUGCUAUCAGCUCUAAUUGGCUCCCAGAACCCAGGAAUGCUUCCCUGCUAGAAAAUGAUACCACAGAGAAUCCAAAAGUGGCUCCUGGUUCUGGUCCAUGGCCUGACCUCCCUCUUCCCAGAACUGUGGCUUUGAGAUGCCCCAGGUGUGCAGACAUUUGGAAAGUCAGGUUGGCUCACGGGCUCCCACUGAAGCUGUCAAUGAGUGUCUGGGUUGACUUUUCCUUUCAGGAGACACUUCCCUAAAUAAUACAUCUUCCAAGCUGGGAUUGCCAUGACAACAGUUCAAUUUGAAUUACAAAACAAUUAGAUAUCAAACCCCCACGUAAUCCAUCUCCAUGUAAGUCUGUGCCAAGAGGCAGGUAGAAACUUCAACAUCUUCAUUUCAGGGGUUGGAAACCCUGCUGCUGCCUGCCAUGGUUUGAUGGAGAAUUGUACUAAAAAGCUCCCAAAAGUCUUAUUUAGAUAAAGAUGCUCAAUUCCCCCUUGAAUGGGUGUCCUGUAAGUGGUUUAGCUUCCUUUAAAACAAAAUAGCCAAUAAACACCUGUCUUGUCCCA